CCUACGGGUGGCAGCAGUGAGGAAUAUUGGUCAAUGGGCUUACGCCUGAACCAGCCAAGUCGCGUGAGGGAAGACUGCCCUAUGGGUUGUAAACCUCUUUUGUCAGGGAGCAACGCCGGCUACGUGUAUCCGACCUGAUAGUACCUGAAGAAAAAGCCUCGGCUUACUCCGUGCCAGCAGCCGCGGUAAUACGGAGGAUGCGAGCGCUAUCCGGAUUUAUUGGGUUUAAAGGGUGCGUAGGCGGAAUGCCAAGUCAGCGGUAAAAUCGCUGGGCUCAACCUCGCUCCGCCGUUGAAACUGGCGUGCUUGAGUGGGCGAGAAGUAUGAGGAAUGCGUGGUGUAGCGGUGAAAUGCAUAGAUAUCACGCAGAACUCCGAUUGCGAAGGCAGCAUACCGGCGCCCAACUGACGCUGAAGCACGAAAGCGUGGGUAUCGAACAGGAUUAGAUACCCUAGUAGUC
This 460-nucleotide ribosomal RNA is filed under the name uncultured bacterium. Its description in RNAcentral is "partial 16S ribosomal RNA". It matches the Rfam family "Bacterial small subunit ribosomal RNA", at positions 338 to 795 of the family's 1533-position model. The record is from RNAcentral.